Long non-coding RNA from Mauremys mutica (yellowpond turtle), 2666 nucleotides. RefSeq lists it as uncharacterized. NCBI's taxonomy places the organism in Eukaryota, Metazoa, Chordata, Testudines, Geoemydidae. The record is from RefSeq and is a predicted model, not a curated record. The transcript is spliced from 6 exons.
CAGGGCCCUGCCUUUUAAGGCCUUCUGCCCUUCCUGUAAGCAAACAUGGAGCACAAAAUGAACAGUGACCCUAACUCAGCACUCUUCUCACUGCUAUGGACACAUUUCAGAGAGUGAAAGCUGAGAUUGUCUUGUAAUCAAAUGACUUCAGGAGCUGGUGCUUUGAAAAAAAACAACAAAUAUUGUGAGACACGUAAUAAAAUCACAAGAGUUGGCAGUACUGGAGUUUUAUCCUUAAAUCUGUAUAUCCUAGGUUUCAAGAAGAGGAAACUUUCAGAUGUAUCAGAUGGAAAACAGAUGUCUUUUACCUUUUCAUCUGAGUUUUAAAAUGCCAUAUUUGCAAAUCAUCACAGAUAAUUGUGUUUAAACCUGAGUUUUCAUCUUCCCAGCCCAUUUUCUCUUCAUACUUGAUCCUGUAAUGAAAUCAUUACACUGAAUUUAUGACAUCACAUUCACUCCAUGGCAACAAAGUGUGAUGUUUACCAACCACGGGGAUUAAGGUGACAUCACCACAGAAUCCAACUGCCAGAGAAGGUGCAUUGUGAGGAAAAAGCAUUUACUUCAGACACAAAUAUCUGAAACCAUUUCAAAGGAAAAAGAUGAAAUUACAGUAGGAAAAAAUUCACGUUGGACACCAUCUGUUAUCACCAGUACCACUGCACUGCAUUACAAGUUACUGAUUAAAGAAAUACCUGACAGUGAGGGGCUAUUUUCACUCCCUGAAACUGAAUGGAAUAAUAAUUGUAUGUACUCAAUUGAUAUGUAACUCAGGAUGUCUCUAGUAUGCAAACCCCUGGAAGAGCGUCCCUCUGCAGUAUCCUGUCACUGUCACUGGACACUCACAGUGAGCAGACAUUACUAUCGCGAGAGACGUGAUGUACAACUGUGAAAGAUCUGCCUUGCAUACUGAAAUCAACAAAGACCAAGAAGUUCAAAGAAAACAUAAUAGUCAACCUGUUCCUGUUCUAAGUGUCUCAGAUGUCUCUGGCCAGUUAAUAUUGCUAUAUACUUGGACUCUUCUUUCCUGUGUUUAUUGUGUGCCUCCAAUCUACAGCUUUACAAUAAUUCACUUAUAGGAAAAUGGAGAAAUAGCCAGCCCCAAGGCUCUUUUAGCAUGGUACUCAGAGUUAUACCAUUAUGUGGAAGACAUUCUGUACAUAAUUGAAAAGAAACUAUUUGAAAUAUAAUAGCCCAACUGCAUCUGAGUAAGUUAUUGCUUCACAACUGCUAACGAUAACCUGUAUUGCACUUGUUGUAAUAUUUAUGCCUGUAGAUGUAAUACAUUGCAACAAUUCAUAUCUAUUAUAGACAUGAAGGCAUAAAUGGGUUUAAUCAGACAUGUAAUUAUUUUUAUGCCUCCAACUCAAAAAUAUGCAUAAAUGAAUUUAUGGUUAUUUGGCAAUCACUGGGAAUAGUGUUUAUAAAUGUUGAAACAGCUGUUGGCAAAUGUAUGUGCAAAAGCAAGGAAAACAGCUUUUCACACCUAUUAGUCAAGUUAGCAAUAAACUACUCUUCCUUAUUUAAUACCUUAGGGCCAGAUUCUGAGCUUAUCUACACCACUGUAAAUUCAAAGCAACUUUUCUUAAAUCAGUCUAUUUACUCUGAAUUUGUGGGAGUGUAAGCGAUAUCAGACUUUGGUCCCAAAUCUUUGAAUAGUUGUUUCAUCAUCCUUGAUAUUGUCUGUAAAUAUGAACACAUAUAACAGCAAUUUCCUGUGGGAUCGAGAGAAUAUUUAAUUAAAUGAGGAUUUACUAUACAUUUCUCUGCCUUAACUCUUUCAGUUUAAUUUCAUAGUUGAAGUAAUCCAUUUUGGUCGUGUUUCAGCAAAGCACUUAAAACUCUGUUUAAAGCUAAUUGCAUGCUUAUAUAUUUUGCUGAACAGAGAUGGAUUUAAUUAUGUGCUUAAAAUUAAGCACAUGCUUAAAUGCUUUGCUGAAUCAGGGCCAUUAUGCUGUCUUGCUUGGUCAUUCUCAUUUACUGUGUUAUUUGUGGUACAUUCUACUUUACACAGAACACAUUCAUUUAAAAUAAUGGAUGAUGAUAUAUAUAGUUCUGUCAAGUAUGUGAAAUCUGGCAUCUGUUUGAAUUUCUCACAGAUAACUGUGUGCUGGUAUACUGUAAAGUUUUACACUGUAACAAGUAAAGCUAAUCCUCUGAAUACAUAGUUAGAUUAUUCCACACAAUAAAUUGCAUUUUAGUCUAUCCUGUACAAAUAAUCCAGAAACAUCUAAUUUGCUCUUUUUUCUUCCAAUUUUAGAUUUGAAUUUUGUAAUUUUGAUUUGACAAGAACUAAUAACAGUGGAACUGAAAUGUUCUGUAAACUAGCAUGUUAAAUUUUAUCUGAAGGAAACACCAGCUUAGGCAAUAUUUUGCAUUUUUUGAAUUCUAUAUUGAGCAGGUUUUUUGCACUGAAUUGUCCAGUUGUAAAGCAUUUUGUGUUAUAAUGUUAAGGCAGCAAACAGACAACUUCUUUUUGCUGUAUAUGUGAACUUUGAAUUAAAAGUAUGUUCCACUUUACAGUGUUUAAAGGAUAGCUACCAACUAACACUGUGUACUCCACAGAUUUAACAAUCUCUAAAAGCUGACUCUCUCAAAUGAUGGGUUUCUCUUUAAUUCGUGUAUUGUGUGCUAUUGUAGAGAUCAGUAACAUUUUCAAUAAAUUAUAC